Molecule: ribosomal RNA, 815 nt
Filed under: uncultured bacterium
Lineage: Bacteria
Description: bacterial SSU rRNA
Rfam family: Bacterial small subunit ribosomal RNA
Source: RNAcentral
AUGCAGUCGAACGAGGAAAGCACCUUUCGGGUGCCGGUACUAGUGGCGCACGGGUGAGUAACGCGUGGAUAACCUGCCCUCUGGCGGGGAAUAACUAGUCGAAAGAUUAGCUAAUACCGCAUAAGACCACAGCUUCUGCGGAAGCAGUGGUUAAAGAUUUAUCACCAGAGGAUGAGUCCGCGCCCGAUUAGCUUGAUGGUGGGGUAACGGCCUACCAUAGCGACGAUCGGUAGCUGGUCUGAGGGGAUGAUCAGCCACACUGGAACUGAGACACGGUCCAGACUCCUACGGGAGGCAGCAGUAGGGAAUAUUGCGCAAUGGGGGAAACCCUGACGCAGCGACGCCGCGUGAGUGAUGAAGGCCUUCGGGUUGUAAAGCUCUGUUCUACAGGAACAAAAAAAUGAGUGUACUGUAGAAGAAAGGACCGGCUAACUCCGUGCCAGCAGCCGCGGUAAUACGGGGGGUCCUAGCGUUGUUCGGAAUCAUUGGGCGUAAAGCGGGUGUAGGCGGAUUAGUAAGUCAGAAGUGAAAGCCCCGGGCUCAACCCGGGAAGUGCUUUUGAUACUGCUAAUCUUGAGUGUGGGAGAGGGUAGUAGAAUUCCAGGUGUAGUGGUGAAAUACGUAGAUAUCUGGAGGAACACCGGUGGCGAAGGCGACUGCCUGGCCCAACACUGACGCUCAGACCCGAAAGCGUGGGUAGCAAACAGGAUUAGAUACCCUGGUAGUCCACGCCGUAAACACUGGACACUUGUUGUUGGAGGUAUUGACCCCUUCAGUGACGGAGCUAACGCGUUAAGUGUCCCGCCUGGGGAGUA